CAGUAGCCGCGGUAAAACGAAGGGGGCUAGCGUUGCUCGGAAUGACUGGGCGUAAAGGGCGCGUAGGCGGAUGACACAGUCAGAUGUGAAAUUCCCGGGCUUAACCUGGGGGCUGCAUUUGAUACGUGUUGUCUAGAGUGAGGAAGAGGGUUGUGGAAUUCCCAGUGUAGAGGUGAAAUUCGUAGAUAUUGGGAAGAACACCGGUGGCGAAGGCGGCAACCUGGUCCUUUACUGACGCUGAGGCGCGAAAGCGUGGGGAGCAAACAGGAUUAGAGACCCCAGUAGUCCCUGUCUCUUAUAC
This 301-nucleotide ribosomal RNA is filed under the name uncultured bacterium. RNAcentral describes it as "partial 16S ribosomal RNA". It matches the Rfam family "Bacterial small subunit ribosomal RNA", at positions 509 to 807 of the family's 1533-position model. The record is from RNAcentral.